CAAGUCGAACGCGAAAGCCCCGCAAGGGGUAAGUAGAGUGGCAAACGGGUGAGUAACACGUGGGUGACCUGCCUUCGAGUGGGGGAUAACGUCCCGAAAGGGACGCUAAUACCGCAUGACAUCCUGCUCUUGGACGAGCGGAGAUCAAAGCUAGGGAUCGCAAGACCUGGCGCUUGAAGAGGGGCCCGCGUCUGAUUAGCUAGUUGGUGAGGUAACGGCUCACCAAGGCGACGAUCAGUAUCCGGCCUGAGAGGGCGGACGGACACACUGGGACUGAGACACGGCCCAGACUCCUACGGGAGGCAGCAGUGGGGAAUUGUUCGCAAUGGGCGCAAGCCUGACGACGCAACGCCGCGUGGAGGAUGAAGAUCUUCGGGUCGUAAACUCCUGUCGAGCGGGAAGAACGUUUCGUGGGUGAAUAGCCCGCGGAAGUGACGGUACCGCU
This 445-nucleotide ribosomal RNA is filed under the name uncultured Bacillota bacterium. RNAcentral describes it as "bacterial SSU rRNA". It matches the Rfam family "Bacterial small subunit ribosomal RNA", at positions 58 to 482 of the family's 1533-position model. The record is from RNAcentral. Lineage: Bacteria; Bacillati; Bacillota.